This 497-nucleotide ribosomal RNA is filed under the name uncultured bacterium. RNAcentral's name for it is "partial 16S ribosomal RNA". It matches the Rfam family "Bacterial small subunit ribosomal RNA", at positions 28 to 507 of the family's 1533-position model. The record is from RNAcentral.
GAUGAACGCUGGCGGCGUGCCUAAUACAUGCAAGUCGAGCGAACAGACGAGGAGCUUGCUCCUCUGACGUUAGCGGCGGACGGGUGAGUAACACGUGGAUAACCUACCUAUAAGACUGGGAUAACUUCGGGAAACCGGAGCUAAUACCGGAUAAUAUAUUGAACCGCAUGGUUCAAUAGUGAAAGACGGUUUUGCUGUCACUUAUCGAUGGAUCCGCGCCGCAUUAGCUAGUUGGUAAGGUAACGGCUUACCAAGGCAACGAUGCGUAGCCGACCUGAGAGGGUGAUCGGCCACAAUGGAACUGAGACACGGUCAAGACUCCUACGGGAGGCAGCAGUAGGGAAUCUUCCGAAAUGGGCGAAAGCCUGACGGAGCAACGCCGCGUGAGUGAUGAGGGUCUUCGGAUCGUAAAACUCUGUUAUUAGGGAAGAACAAAUGUGUAAGUAACUAUGCACGUCUUGACGGUACCUAAUCAGAAAGCCACGGCUAACUACGUG